Non-coding RNA from Trichobilharzia regenti, 45 nucleotides. NCBI's taxonomy places the organism in Eukaryota, Metazoa, Platyhelminthes, Trematoda, Strigeidida, Schistosomatidae. The record is from Rfam.
AUCCAGCUGACGAGAUCCAAAUAGGACGAAAUGCGCAUCCUGGAU